GCUGGCGGCUCCGUGUCCCCGGGGAUCCCGGGGGGGGUGACAGCGUGUGACACCCCCUCCUCUGGCUCCCCCCCGACCCCGAGACCCCCUCGGUGCUCCCCAAAAUGGGAGGGGGGGCGGGGGGGUUGUUACAUAAACAGCGCGGGCUCCAUUUCCCGCUGCCUGGCCAAGGCGCGAUGCGACGCGGAUGGGGCUGCGGGCACGGAGGUGGCGAUUUGGGGGGGUUCCGGAGCUGUGCUCCUUUUGGGGAGCUCUGUCCCUUUUGGGGGGCUCCGGAGCCGUGUCCCUGUGUCCUUCUUGGGGUUCUCUAGAGCUGCGAGCCACCACCCUGAGCAGGAGGCGAGUUGUGUUUGUUUUGGGGGGCUCUGUGCCUUUUGGGGGUCUCUAGAGCUGUGUCCCCACCCUGGGCAGGAAUGGGGCUGUGUCUGUUUGGGGAUCUCUAGAGCUGUGUGUCCGUCUGUCCCUUUUGGGGAGCUGUGUCUUUUCUUGGGGGCUCUGUGCCUUUUGGGGAGCUGUGUCCGUUUUAGGGAUCUCUAGAGCUGUGUCCUCACCGUGGGUAGGAAUCAGGCUGCGUCUGUUUUGGGGGGAUCUGUUCCUUUUGGGGGGCUCUGGAGCCGUGUCCCUGUGUCCUUCUUGGGGUUCUCUAGAGCUGCGAGCCACCACCCUGAGCAGGAGGGGAGCUGUGUUUGUUUUGGGGGGCUCUGUGCCCUUUGGGGGUCUCUAGAGCUGUGUGUCCAUCUGUCCCUUUUGGGGAGCUGUGUCUUUUCUUGGGGGCUCUGUGCCUUUUGGGGAGCUGCGUCCGUUUUGGGGGACUUUGUCCCUCUUGGGGGACUCUAGAGCUGUGUGUUCAUCUGUCCCUUUUCGGGAACUGUGUCUGUUUCAGGGGCUGUGUCCCUUUUGGGGGUCUCUAGAGCUGUGUGUCUGUCGGUCCCUUUUGGGGAGCUAUCUCUUUUUUUAGGGGGUUCUGUGCCUUUUGGGGAGCUGUGUCCAUUUUGUGGGGCCUUGUCCAUUUUGUAGGGCUCUAGACCUGUGUCCCCACCCCAAGCAGGAAUGGGGCUCUGUCCCUUUUGGGGGGCUCUGUCCCUUUAAGGGUCUCUAGAGCUGUUCCCUCACUUGGGACAGGAAUGGGCCUGAGUCUGCUUUAGGGGCUCUGUCCCUUUUUGGGGGGCUCUAUCCCUUCUGGGGG
This 1186-nucleotide long non-coding RNA is filed under the name Zonotrichia albicollis (white-throated sparrow). RNAcentral describes it as "lncRNA (ENSZALG00000002087.1)". The record is from RNAcentral. Lineage: Eukaryota; Metazoa; Chordata; Aves; Passeriformes; Passerellidae.